This 450-nucleotide ribosomal RNA is filed under the name uncultured bacterium. RNAcentral describes it as "partial 16S ribosomal RNA". It matches the Rfam family "Bacterial small subunit ribosomal RNA", at positions 354 to 796 of the family's 1533-position model. The record is from RNAcentral.
GUGGGGAAUCUUCCGCAAUGGACGAAAGUCUGACGGAGCGACGCCGCGUGAGUGAAGAAGGCCUUCGGGUCGUAAAGCUCUGUCAUCAGGGACGAACGGCCGGUGGAGUGGAAAGCCACCGGAUUGACGGUACCUGAGAAGGAAGCCACGGCUAACUACGUGCCAGCAGCCGCGGUAAUACGUAGGUGGCAAGCGUUGUCCGGAAUUAUUGGGCGUAAAGCGCGCGCAGGUGGGAUCUUAAGUCCAUUUUUAAAGUUCGGAGCUCAACUCCGUGAUGGGAUGGAAACUGGGAUUCUUGAGUACCGGAGAGGAAAGCGGAAUUCCAAGUGUAGCGGUGAAAUGCGUAGAGAUUUGGAAGAACACCAGUGGCGAAGGCGACUUUCUGGACGAUGUCUGACGCUGAGGCGCGAAAGCUAGGGGAGCGAACGGGAUUAGAAACCCUAGUAGUCC